Molecule: long non-coding RNA, 382 nt
Filed under: Heterocephalus glaber (naked mole-rat)
Lineage: Eukaryota; Metazoa; Chordata; Mammalia; Rodentia; Bathyergidae
Description: lncRNA (ENSHGLG00000036151.1)
Source: RNAcentral
AGACUAUGUCAGUCAACUUCCCCACUACUCAGACAAAAUACCUGACAUCCCCAACUUAAAGGAGAAGGGGUUUAUUUUAGUUCAUGAUUUCAAAGGUUACAGCCCAUGGUCAGCUGGCUCCAAGGCACAAACAUCAUGGCAGAGGGACAUGGCAAAGGAAAACCAUUCCCUUCCAGCUGGAAUGUAGCCAUGAUGCCUGCAAAGUGUUACUAUCACCCAUGACCAUGAGGGAAAAGUCAUUUGAAUAACAGAAAUGAGAGCCUUGAUAUCUUUGAACCAGCAGUAACAACUACCUCUCCCAAACCCACUUGACAUGUAGGGAAUUAAACCUCUGUUUGUUUAGAGCAAUCUCAAUUGUGUUUUCUGUUACCUGAUACUGGAA